ACCUGCGGCAGGAUCAUU
This 18-nucleotide ribosomal RNA is filed under the name Tuber indicum. RNAcentral's name for it is "partial 18S ribosomal RNA". The record is from RNAcentral. Lineage: Eukaryota; Fungi; Ascomycota; Pezizomycetes; Pezizales; Tuberaceae.